Molecule: ribosomal RNA, 460 nt
Filed under: uncultured bacterium
Lineage: Bacteria
Description: partial 16S ribosomal RNA
Rfam family: Bacterial small subunit ribosomal RNA
Source: RNAcentral
CCUACGGGUGGCAGCAGUGAGGAAUAUUGGUCAAUGGACGAGAGUCUGAACCAGCCAAGUAGCGUGAAGGAUGACUGCCCUAUGGGUUGUAAACUUCUUUUAUAUGGGAAUAAAAUGUUCCACGUGUGGGCUUUUGUAUGUACCAUAUGAAUAAGGAUCGGCUAACUCCGUGCCAGCAGCCGCGGUAAUACGGAGGAUCCGAGCGUUAUCCGGAUUUAUUGGGUUUAAAGGGAGCGUAGGUGGAUUGUUAAGUCAGUUGUGAAAGUUUGCGGCUCAACCGGAAAAUUGCAGUUGAAACUGGCAGUCUUGAGUACAGUAGAGGUGGGCGGAAUUCGUGGUGUAGCGGUGAAAUGCUUAGAUAUCGCGAAGAACUCCGAUUGCGAAGGCAGCUCACUGGACUGCAACUGACACUGAGGCUCGAAAGUGUGGGUAUCAAACAGGAUUAGAUACCCUUGUAGUC